Molecule: ribosomal RNA, 407 nt
Filed under: uncultured bacterium
Lineage: Bacteria
Description: partial 16S ribosomal RNA
Rfam family: Bacterial small subunit ribosomal RNA
Source: RNAcentral
GAUGAACGCUGGCGGCGUGCCUAAUACAUGCACGUCGAGCGAAGCGGCGGACGGGUGAGUAAUACCUAGGAAUCUGCCUGGUAGUGGGGGAUAACGUCCGGCAACGGGCGCUAAUACCGCAUACUCUCGGAUGAGCCUAGGUGGGAUUAGCUAGUGGGGGGGGUAAAGGCCUACCAAGGAGACGAUCCGUAACGGGUCUGAGAGGAUGAUCAGUCACACGGGAACUGAGACACGGUCCAGACUCCUACGGGCGGCAGCAGUGGGUAAUAUUGGACAAUGGGCGAAAACCUGAUCCAGCCAUGCCUCGUGUGUGAAGAAGGUCUGCGGAUUGUAAAGCACUUUAAGUUGGGAGGCGUUACCAACAGAAUAAGCACCGGCUAACUUCGUGCCAGCAGCCGCGGUAAUAC